UACGUAGGGGGCUAGCGUUGUCCGGAAUCAUUGGGCGUAAAGAGCGUGUAGGCGGUCCGGUAAGUCCGCUGUGAAAGUCGGGGGCUCAACCCUCGAAUGCCGGUGGAUACUGUCGGGCUAGAGUGCGGAAGGGGCGAGUGGAAUUCCUGGUGUAGCGGUGAAAUGCGCAGAUAUCAGGAGGAACACCGGUGGCGAAGGCGGGUCUCUGGGACGGUACUGACGCUGAGACGCGAAAGCGUGGGGAGCGAACAGG
Molecule: ribosomal RNA, 253 nt
Filed under: uncultured bacterium
Lineage: Bacteria
Description: partial 16S ribosomal RNA
Rfam family: Bacterial small subunit ribosomal RNA
Source: RNAcentral